This 453-nucleotide ribosomal RNA is filed under the name uncultured Paraprevotella sp. RNAcentral describes it as "partial 16S ribosomal RNA". It matches the Rfam family "Bacterial small subunit ribosomal RNA", at positions 341 to 792 of the family's 1533-position model. The record is from RNAcentral. Lineage: Bacteria; Pseudomonadati; Bacteroidota; Bacteroidia; Bacteroidales; Prevotellaceae.
ACGGGAGGCAGCAGUGAGGAAUAUUGGUCAAUGGUCGGAAGACUGAACCAGCCAAGUAGCGUGAAGGAUGACUGCCCUAUGGGUUGUAAACUUCUUUUAUGCGGGAAUAAAAAAGUCCACGUGUGGGCUCUUGCAUGUACCGCAUGAAUAAGGAUCGGCUAAUUCCGUGCCAGCAGCCGCGGUAAUACGGAAGAUCCGAGCGUUAUCCGGAUUUAUUGGGUUUAAAGGGAGCGUAGGCGGGCCUUUAAGUCAGUGGUCAAAGCGUGUGGCUCAACCAUACCACGCCGUUGAUACUGGAGGCCUUGAGUGCACAUAAGGAUGGUGGAAUUCAUGGUGUAGCGGUGAAAUGCUUAGAUAUCAUGAAGAACUCCGAUUGGGAAGCCAGCUUACUGUAGCGCCACUGACGCUGAUGCUCGAAAGCGUGGGUAUCGAACAGGAUUAGAUACCCUGGUA